Molecule: ribosomal RNA, 717 nt
Filed under: Sphingobacterium sp.
Lineage: Bacteria; Pseudomonadati; Bacteroidota; Sphingobacteriia; Sphingobacteriales; Sphingobacteriaceae
Description: bacterial SSU rRNA
Rfam family: Bacterial small subunit ribosomal RNA
Source: RNAcentral
CCGUCGGAGAGCUUGCUCGAAGACGGUGAGAGUGGCGCACGGGUGCGUAACGCGUGAGCAACCUACCUCUAUCAGGGGGAUAGCCUCUCGAAAGAGAGAUUAACACCGCAUAACAUAUCUGACCGGCAUCGGUUAGCUAUUAAAUAUUUAUAGGAUAGAGAUGGGCUCGCGUGACAUUAGCUAGUUGGUAGGGUAACGGCUUACCAAGGCGACGAUGUCUAGGGGCUCUGAGAGGAGAAUCCCCCACACUGGUACUGAGACACGGACCAGACUCCUACGGGAGGCAGCAGUAAGGAAUAUUGGUCAAUGGGCGGAAGCCUGAACCAGCCAUGCCGCGUGCAGGAUGACUGCCCUAUGGGUUGUAAACUGCUUUUGUCCAGGAAUAAACCUUUCUACGUGUAGGUAGCUGAAUGUACUGGAAGAAUAAGGAUCGGCUAACUCCGUGCCAGCAGCCGCGGUAAUACGGAGGAUCCGAGCGUUAUCCGGAUUUAUUGGGUUUAAAGGGUGCGUAGGCGGCCUAUUAAGUCAGGGGUGAAAUACGGUGGCUCAACCAUCGCAGUGCCUUUGAUACUGAUGGGCUUGAAUCCAUUUGAAGUGGGCGGAAUAAGACAAGUAGCGGUGAAAUGCAUAGAUAUGUCUUAGAACUCCGAUUGCGAAGGCAGCUCACUAAGCUGGUAUUGACGCUGAUGCACGAAAGCGUGGGGAUCGAAACAGGAU